UACGUAGGAUGCAAGCGUUGUCCGGAUUUAUUGGGUUUAAAGGGUGCGUAGGCGUUAUAUUAAGUUCGUGGGGAAAACGUUCGGCUUAACCGGAUACCCGCCAUUGAUACUGAUAGACUUGAGUGCGACAGAGGGUGUUGGAAUGUGUGGUGUAGCGGUGAAAUGCUUAGAUAUCACGCAGAACACCAAUUGCGAAGGCAGAUGCCUAUGUCGUAACUGACGCUGAGGCACGAAAGCGUGGGGAGCAAACAGG
Molecule: ribosomal RNA, 253 nt
Filed under: uncultured bacterium
Lineage: Bacteria
Description: partial 16S ribosomal RNA
Rfam family: Bacterial small subunit ribosomal RNA
Source: RNAcentral